AGCAGCCGCGGUAAUUCCAGCUCCAAUAGCGUAUAUUAAAGUUGUUGCAGUUAAAAAGCUCGUAGUUGAAUUUCGGGAUCAAUAUGUUGGUCGUGCCUCGGUACGUACUAGCUUAUUGGUUUCUCCUUUCUGAAGAACCAUGAUGUCAUUCAUUUGGUGUCGUGGGGAAUCAGGACUGUUACUUUGAAAAAAUUAGAGUGUUUAAAGCAGGCUCACGCUUGAAUACAUUAGCAUGGAAUAAUGAAAUAGGACGUUUGAUUCUAUUUUGUUGGUUUCUAGGAUCGACGUAAUGAUUAAUAGGGAUAGUUGGGGGCAUUAGUAUUCAAUUGUCAGAGGUGAAAUUCUUGGAUUUAUUGAAGACUAACUACUGCGAAAGCAUUUGCCAAGGAUGUUUUCAUUAAUCAAGAACGAAAGUUAGGGGAUCGAAGACGAUCAGAUACCGUCGUAGUCUUAACCAUAAACUAUGCCGACUAGGGAUCGGAUGAUGUUAAUUUUUUAAUGACUCAUUCGGCGCCUUACG
RNAcentral lists this ribosomal RNA (520 nucleotides) under uncultured Glomeraceae. Its description in RNAcentral is "SSU rRNA". It matches the Rfam family "Eukaryotic small subunit ribosomal RNA", at positions 569 to 1092 of the family's 1831-position model. The record is from RNAcentral. Lineage: Eukaryota; Fungi; Glomeromycota; Glomeromycetes; Glomerales; Glomeraceae.